This is a non-coding RNA of Dermacentor andersoni, 1454 nucleotides long. Lineage: Eukaryota; Metazoa; Arthropoda; Arachnida; Ixodida; Ixodidae. The record is from RefSeq and is a predicted model, not a curated record.
UGUCGUGAGGUGGGGAUGGCUACGCUCGUCCGCGGCGUCAGCCGCUGAGGUCAGUCCGCUGUACCAGCGUGUGUGACGGCGAUCACCGCUCCUGCAAGGGGCGAUGGCAAGCGGCUGCGAGUGAGGCUCGAUGUGAAGCGCCCUUGGGUGUUGUCGCCGCUGGCACUGGUGGCACGACUUCCCCGCGACGAAGGGCAGCUCUCGCCGUUGGUGGAACGAAAUCGUGAGAAGGAAGGCGUAGUGUCGCGCAAGACGGGCUGUGUGGAGACUAUGGCUACAAUAUGGCGCCUGAGUAGCGAGCGUCGUCUGUAUGGAAACGAAGCGCUGCAUGAGCGGAGGUCUGUCUGCGGUGGCUGCUGGGAUCGCGCCCACGCGUCGCCCACGUUCUGCCUCUCGCGAUCUUCCGAUUAGCGAGGCAGUCGCGCCACACUUCGAUCCAUUUGGAACGUGCCGCACGAGACAGAUUAUCUCCGCCAGCCAAUACAUCGCGAAAUGAAAGCACGUAUGCAGCUGCGCUCAAACUUCGCAUUAGCGAGUAUCGUAAUCGUCGGUGAACUUUUUCCCUUUCUAAUUCAUUCUUUCUCAUUUUUGUAAGCCCUGCGCGCGACGGCAGCGGUCUCGAACGGGGUUUCAAUUAGCACUACUGAUGGCUGACAGAAAUGACCACGUAUAUGUAACAAGGCGGGGGCGUAGCCUAUGGCUGGUACGAUCAAGUAGCCUACUUUCUUUCUUUUCUUGUUUUUUUAGGCUUCACUUUAAUUGCAUCUCUUAUCGCCACGCUUACCCGAUGCGCAAUAGACCUCUCCCGGCCUACGUCACGACGGGUCGGUCACGUCAUCUUCGGAUUCAUGCGGGCGUGUUCGGCGAGCGAAAAUCGCCGCCGAACGCACGUUGGCAGCCGCUGACAGUUUCGAGUAUCGCGGUCGCUCUUUAUUUUUUGGUGUGUUUCGUGCGCGUCGGUUUGUCAUGCCGCAAGUUGUUGCUCAGUGGGAUGCCUAAAUCGCAUGAAAAAAAGGUUGUGGGAUCGGUUUUUUUCCCCCGCUUCCGAAGAGACGAGAUGCAGCCACAAACGUGGGUGCUUGCAAUGCUCUGUGACAAGUGACAGCCAUCAGACGCCGAGACAGAAUCUGCGGAUUUCGCUCGACCAGUGUUCGUUCUUGGUGACCCCUACCAGUGAUUCUGCUGCAAGACUUAGCAAGAGUAUGCAAACGAGCUAUUACGCGUGACGUAGCGCACGGCAUUCAUCGGCGAAAGGCGGAGGCAAAUUGGAGGAAGCAAAUUCAAGUCGUGGGCGAACAAAAGGAAGGGGCCUUUCGAACAGACAAGCGCGCUGAGUAGAUGACGUGCUGAAGAUCGUUUCUGCGAAGUAUCAAACCACUGCACGGCACAAAGACAGCUGAAAUUUCUGCCAGAGGGCCAAGGUCACGGGCAUAAACGCCUCUACGUCAGACGCA